Molecule: long non-coding RNA, 232 nt
Organism: Hippocampus comes (tiger tail seahorse)
Lineage: Eukaryota; Metazoa; Chordata; Actinopteri; Syngnathiformes; Syngnathidae
Exons: 3
Source: RefSeq, a predicted model, not a curated record
GCAAGUUUUUCCGUCGUCCACAAACCCUUUUCUCAAUUAGUCAGAUUACUGGGCCAAAGGGCAGCCGCCAGACUCGGAGGACAUGCGGAAGGGACACCAAUCUGCAUUUGGACACGCGUGAGUACUGAGCUGUGUGGUGUGCUUGAAGAGCUCAUGUCUGAUGUCACGUUGCACCACAAGGUGGAGAUUAGACAAUCACAAAAGCAGAGGAAAAAGUUGCCAGUUGGAUGGC